CCUACGGGUGGCAGCAGUAGGGAAUAUUGCUCAAUGGGGGAAACCCUGAAGCAGCCACGCCGCGUGGAGGAUGAAGGUUUUCGGAUUGUAAACUCUUUUUGUUAGAGAAGAUAAUGACGGUAUCUAACGAAUAAGCACCGGCUAACUCCGUGCAAGCAGCCGCGGGAAUACGGAGGAUGCAAGCGUUACUCGGAAUCACUGGGCGUAAAGGGCGCGUAGGCGGGAUAGCAAGUCAGAUGUGAAAUCCUAUGGCUUAACCAUAGAACUGCAUUUGAAACUGUUAUUCUAGAGUAUGGGAGAGGUAGGUGGAAUUCUUGGUGUAGAGGUAAAAUCCGUAGAGAUCAAGAGGAAUACUCAUUGCGAAGGCAACCUGCUAGAACAUAACUGACGCUGAUGCGCGAAAGCGUGGGGAGCAAACAGGAUUAGAUACCCGAGUAGUC
RNAcentral lists this ribosomal RNA (440 nucleotides) under uncultured bacterium. Its description in RNAcentral is "partial 16S ribosomal RNA". It matches the Rfam family "Bacterial small subunit ribosomal RNA", at positions 338 to 795 of the family's 1533-position model. The record is from RNAcentral.